RNAcentral lists this non-coding RNA (24 nucleotides) under Arabidopsis thaliana (thale cress). The record is from RNAcentral. Lineage: Eukaryota; Viridiplantae; Streptophyta; Magnoliopsida; Brassicales; Brassicaceae.
CUAAUGGUGCAUGAUUUAAUGAGG